AUCAUUAGGUGUAGUCACUAUUAAAUGCUUGUCCUGACUGCGUCUUAAACCACAACGGUGUUGCACUUCAUACAAUAUUAACUUACUUAGUAAAAAUGAAGCUUUUAUAUAUAUUGUUUUUGUGUUUUCUACUGGUUGCUGCUGAUAAGAAGAACAAAGGUACAAAAAGGCCGCCUUUCAUAGUUCACAACAAUAUUCUACCGCCGAGGCAAUUGGAACAUAUUUACGAACAAGCCAGAGGAAAACCAAAGCCUUGAACAGUCCGUUUAAGAAGAAAAAUAAUAACAGUACAAAUAAAGCGCCACCUUUCAUAUAUCCACAAAUACUCUCAGCGGUUUGACAACUGAAAACGGUUCGGAUAUCAAAAUGUUGAAACUGGGACUAAUUGGAGAUUUUAGAACCGCAAAGUUGAUAAUAUGUAAUU
Helicoverpa armigera (cotton bollworm) is the source of this 424-nucleotide long non-coding RNA. RefSeq lists it as uncharacterized. The transcript has 3 exons. NCBI's taxonomy places the organism in Eukaryota, Metazoa, Arthropoda, Insecta, Lepidoptera, Noctuidae. The record is from RefSeq and is a predicted model, not a curated record.